AUCCUUUCCCAGUUCAGAAGCAUAAUUGGGUGCCUACACAUUUGUGUGAUAUGUGCCCCAUUAAACCUUGUUACCAUAUUGGCAUAUUACCCUCUGAUG
Small nucleolar RNA from Suncus etruscus (white-toothed pygmy shrew), 99 nucleotides. RefSeq annotates it as small nucleolar RNA U13. The transcript has a single exon. Lineage: Eukaryota; Metazoa; Chordata; Mammalia; Eulipotyphla; Soricidae. The record is from RefSeq and is a predicted model, not a curated record.